AUGCAUCCACUUCUUUGGCUACAUAGUACAUACUUAUUCGAACACGUGAGAAAUAUCACAUAUAAAAAGCGAUAAAACAACUCUGUAGCUGAAUAUGAACAGGUAGUACGAGCUGAGAUGUCAUAACAUAAGUUUACGCCAAUUAUUUUUCGGCCAAGUUUCGUUCGCGAAUGCAUGUCUUUCUCUAUAGUAACGAUUGCGUUUCAAAAUGAAGUCCAACUGUUACUGCAGUUUUCCGAUUGAUUCAGUUUGUGCAACAGCUGUACUUUAUACCACUGUUGUGAUAAAUACUGUACUAAUGUGCUUUGUUUUACAAUGGGAUUUGCAAGGCAACGAAUUAAUUUUCGGUGAUGAUUUUAUAACGGAGAUAUUACUCAUUCUAUCGGAAUCGAUCCUAUUGCUAUUCGCCGCUGUUGUCUGUUUCAAACAUUAUACCACCGUUGGGAAGAUGAUUUCACAAUUCUGUGUAUUCGUAGCAGUCAUCGAAUUGCUACUUUUCGAUCUAAGUAGCACUUUUAAAAUCGCACUCAAUUUACUCGUUGACCGAAAAUUGGAUAGAAUUUGGGACAGAAGAGAACCUACUACUACUGCGAUUGCACCCCAUUCUGUGUAUUUUUUCGUAUUCUUCGUGUUACUUUGCUAUUUCGUUUUCAAAUUAUACACCGCCAUUGUAAUAUUGGAAUUUGGAAUUGUGGGCUCGUGCAGGAGUACUACAAAUGAAGACGAUAUCGAAGAUAAUUCUUCUAGUGAGCGAGUAACUGUUGCACUUACUCCUCUUCCUACUCGUCCUCUUCGUCUUUCUCGCCUCGCUUUUCCUCCUCCGAGCCCCCUUCCUCCUAGCCCGCCUCCCCCAUACUCUGAAAAUGUAAUAGAUGUGGAAAUUCCUCUUACUAUGAGUCCCACUCCUCCUAGACCCCCUCCUCCAUAUUUUGAAUGUGUAACAGAUAGGGAAAACCCACCUCCAUAUUCGUCGUUAUUAGCAAACACCUUAAGAAUUCAAAAUUUAUAGAAAAUUGUGUUUUAUGAUUUUUUUUUGAUGCCUAAAGUUUAACGAGGGAAUAGGAAAACGUCGGAAAAAAGGCUAAAGAAAGGAGUGACAUGCUUAAAAAUUUAAUUUUCCGUGAUUUAAAAUUUUAAAAGAACUAAGAAGUACAGGAUGUCCAAAAAAACUUUCAUACAAAAAAUCAUGACCUUUUUCAUGACCUAUUUUUCACAUUUUCACCGCAUAAAAAUACCCCCCCCCCCCCAAACAAAAAAAUGAAUUGAACAAACUUUUCAUUUGUUUAUUUUUUUUCAUUUUAUGGGCUUUUAAAAAAAUGUUCAAGUGCGUUUCGAGCAAAAUUCAUGACUCCUGAAGUACCAUCGACAAAACUGUUGGCGCUGAUUUGAAAAAUAUGGGGUUUAAAAUAAACCCUCCUUACCCCACCCACUUUUUGGGCAAAUAAGUAAAAAAAUUUCGAAAUCAUGACACAUAUCAACUAGGUAGUGAAUUUACGAAGAUACUGAUUACAAAAAUAUGACCUUAUUUUUUUGAUUCGACCCCUCCCACGCUCCUAUACCCCUUUAAUUGGGGUAAAAACCUGAAUAAUACUCAUGAAUCAUGAUCAUGAAAUCAUGCAAUGUACCUAUUGAAGCGAUAGGUAGUCUUGAACAUAAAAAGAUAGCCUCAUUUUAUCAAUUUUAUGCCUCUCACUCACCCCCCCCCCCUUUGAUGGCCCUUUCAUUCGGGUUGAUGUCCUAAAAAAAAAGUGAAAAAGCCAUGUGACUUAUCGAAUAGUAUGUUUUUCGAAAUUCAAAAUACAAAUACAACAUUGUCGUUUCAAUGUGACUCCCCCCCCCCACGGGAUGACCCUUCCAUUCGGAUUGAUAUUCAGAAAACUUUUAAAGUCAUGCGACAUAUCGAAUGGUAUAUUUUUAGAGUGGCCAAAAUCGAAUAUGGCCUUAUUUUUUUGAUCUGACCCCUCCCACGCCCUUCACCUCCUUCAUUCGGGCCAAUUUUCAAAAAAAAUGAAAAAUUCAUGCGACAUAUCGAAUAGUAUGUUUUUGAAGGUGUCAAAUUCGAAUAUGGCCUUAUUUUUUUGAUCUGACCCCCCCCCACGCCCUUCACCCCCCUCAUUCGGGUCAAUUUUCAAAAAAAAAAAAAAAAAUGAAAAAAUAAUGCGAUAUAUUGAUUCGCAUGUUUUUGAAGGUCCUGAAUACAAAUACGACCUCAUUUUUUCGAUCUGAGCUCCCCCCCAUACCCCCUCCAUUCGGGUUGAUAAUCAAAAAAAUGAAAAAGUCAUGCGACAUAUCGAAUAGUAUGUUUUUGAAGGUGACAAAAUCGAAUAUGGCCUUAUUUUUUUGAUCUGACCCCUCCCAUGCCCUUUACUCCCUUCAUUCGGGCCAAUUUUCAAAAAAAAAAAAUGAAAAAGUAAUGCGAUAUAUUGAAUAUUGUAUGUUUUUGAAGUGCUGAAGACGAAUAUGUUCUAAUUUUUUUGAUUCAACUCUUUCCAACUCCUGAGCUCUCAUUGGAAGACACAAAAUGAAGGCAUAAACUCAAGGCACAUUCAUGUUCAGGGUCUUAUGAGAUGUUUUUUAAAACGACAACUUCAAUUACUUAUUUUCAUAUAAACUGAAUUUCACUGACACCUCUAUCAAUAUGUAUAAGCGAGUACAAAAUUUAAACACUUGAGGAAACCUGCCCCUUCAAAUACCUACUUAUCUCUAUCUCUGUUUAACUUUAUAAGGCUCAUGCUCGUCUAAGAAAAGAUAAACGAAUUAAGAGGUUUAUUAAUUGGCGCGAUAUUUUAUCGCGACGGGAGGUAACAACUCGCCCAAUUCUGCCAGCAUGUGUUGAUGCUUGUGUAGGAAAAACCAACACUCGAUAGAUUUUAUUUUUGUAAAUGUUUUUCAACACGGUUCACGCUAAUAACGAUGUUAUACACUCUUCUUGCGAUUUGUCUGGUGAGUAAGUGUUUAACAGUGGCGUUGAAAAGAUGUGGGCCGGCUACUUUGUGCAUUCAAUUUCGACAACGUGCGUGAUUAUGCUUUGCAUUACUGUGGUUCUGAAUUGCUUAAACUUGACACUCGUAUCAUUAAGUUACAAUAGAGCAGCAAAUAAAAUACUUUCAGGCGAUGAUUUCAAAAUGGAAAAGAGCCUAAUUCUAUUCCAAACGAUUCUGUCGAUAUUGGCAAUUAAGCUCGUUAAACAAUACACCUCUACUAUAAUGAUCUUGCUCAAGUUUUGGACUUUUGGUCUCACUAUUCUGACUCUGCUCCUCGACUUGAUAUUCACUGCUUUGAUCACAGACGAUGUACUCAGCAAACAAAAAUUGGAAAAGGUUUGGAAAAUGAAAACCUGCAGUGGCUCAUGUAGGAUGAAUACAACACCCCUUAAUUCUUUCUAUCAUCUCGCUAGCGCCGUAUUAUUUUUCUAUUUUGUUUUCAAACUAAGUGUGACCAUUAUAAUGGUGCGUUUGGGAGGUACUUUCGUCAAAGAAAUACGACAACGAGUAUCGAGUGAUGUACAUCUGAUAAAUGACGAUGAUGUCGAUGUCGAACAACAUGCUCCUUGUGGGCAAACCACUCCGUCAGCACCUCCUCCAUCGUACGAUCAAUGUGUAAUGGAAUCAGCGAUGCCACCUCCUUAUAGUGUUAUUGCUGAGAAAAUUUAUAACGAUGAGAGACAAAAAUUUGAGUCAAUAUCGUCGAAUUUAAGUAAAUGAUUACCUAUUUUAAAUACCUACUUUACGUUUAAUACGUUUAGUUCCUUUUUUUAUUACCUGAAUGGAUAUUUAAAUCGUUCAUAAUGAAUUUUCACCUCGUUAUUGUUUCGAUUGUUGUUAUUGUUUGUAUGUGAUAUUUUUUUUUUUUACAAAGUUACCUAUUUUAAUAAACAUUUUUUUUUUCGA
This is an RNA transcript of Planococcus citri (citrus mealybug), 3890 nucleotides long. RefSeq lists it as uncharacterized. The record is from RefSeq and is a predicted model, not a curated record. The transcript is spliced from 7 exons. Lineage: Eukaryota; Metazoa; Arthropoda; Insecta; Hemiptera; Pseudococcidae.